Molecule: unclassified non-coding RNA, 156 nt
Organism: Chrysemys picta bellii (western painted turtle)
Lineage: Eukaryota; Metazoa; Chordata; Testudines; Emydidae
Source: Ensembl
ACAGCAGGCCUAAAUGUGCCUUUGCUCCCAUCAAUGAGUGGCAUCACUGCACCCUUUCUCAAACCCACCAAUGUGCCUCACUCCUGACCUGGAGGAACCCACCACUAGUGGUGAAGGAAUAGUUCAAUUUCCAGACCCAUUUAAUCCCUGGCCACC